Molecule: transfer RNA, 112 nt
Filed under: Danio rerio (zebrafish)
Lineage: Eukaryota; Metazoa; Chordata; Actinopteri; Cypriniformes; Danionidae
Rfam family: tRNA
About the family: Transfer RNA (tRNA) molecules are approximately 80 nucleotides in length.
Source: Rfam by way of RNAcentral
GUCAUAAUGGCCGUGUGGUCUAAGGCGCCAGACUCAAGAUGAAUAAAUCUUUUCAAGGAAUGAGGAUUAUGGUCUCCAGAUGGAGGCGUAGGUUCAAAUCCCACUUCUGACA